UUUCUGUGCCAUCUGCUGGGAUGAGUAGACCAAGAUCGGUUAAAUUCAAGGCAAGUUCUUCAAGUGUUGAGGGUCCUCCUUUUUAAGAUUGAACAUUUUAAAUGAUGAUUUCAAAAGACAAGCAUAUGUCUGAAUUCCAGUGAUGUUUGCCAUUUUUUUUCUGAGAUGAGGCAGAUGACUGGAGUCUAGUUACCUCCCUAUUGCAGUAACUAAUUGUUCGGUUUUAUUUUAAGGCCUCCUUCACAUGAACUUUGAGAGCAUGAUGACCAUGGGUUGUGUUUGUAAGUAGUUUUUCGAAUUCAAAGUUAGGUUUCAAAUCCGUAUUGUCUGAAGUGAUUUAAGUAUUUAUAUCUUAACUGGACGACAGAUUUGUCAUAUGGCAUUCUAGUCACCAAAGUAUGAUCGGACCAUAUGACCGUACGGUGCUUGUUUUUGAACUGUGUUGGCUACUCCGUGUUUACAAUGCCUGUUAUUUUUCUAGGUCAUCCCCCUUUUUUUUUGUCGUGGUAAUGGAGCACCGUAAUGUUCAGGUAGUGUCGGCACAAUGAGCUCUCACCAAAGACCUGGAACUCCCAAGGGCUGUUAUUUGUCCAAGACUGAGUGGCUAAAGUCCUUUGGUGGUAUUAGGUUGCACGCAUGUAGUACUCAAACGGGUGGCGCACCUGAUGUGGUGAAUUCACAGGACUACAGUGAAUUCUUUCAAGUUCUGCUCCCUUGA
Molecule: long non-coding RNA, 718 nt
Filed under: Sinocyclocheilus anshuiensis
Lineage: Eukaryota; Metazoa; Chordata; Actinopteri; Cypriniformes; Cyprinidae
Description: lncRNA (ENSSANG00000043332.1)
Rfam family: Small nucleolar RNA SNORD27 (bases 97-168)
Source: RNAcentral